This 865-nucleotide ribosomal RNA is filed under the name Corynebacterium sp. RNAcentral describes it as "bacterial SSU rRNA". It matches the Rfam family "Bacterial small subunit ribosomal RNA", at positions 104 to 983 of the family's 1533-position model. Lineage: Bacteria; Bacillati; Actinomycetota; Actinomycetes; Mycobacteriales; Corynebacteriaceae. The record is from RNAcentral.
GGGUGAGUAACACGUGGGUGAUCUGCCCUGUACUUUGGGAUAAGCCUGGGAAACUGGGUCUAAUACCGGAUAGGACCACAUCGUAGGGGUGUGGUGGAAAGAUUUUUCGGUGCAGGAUGAGCCCGCGGCCUAUCAGCUUGUUGGUGGGGUAAUGGCCUACCAAGGCGUCGACGGGUAGCCGGCCUGAGAGGGUGUACGGCCACAUUGGGACUGAGACACGGCCCAGACUCCUACGGGAGGCAGCAGUGGGGAAUAUUGCACAAUGGGCGCAAGCCUGAUGCAGCGACGCCGCGUGGGGGAUGACGGCCUUCGGGUUGUAAACCCCUUUCGCCAGGGACGAAGCUUUAGGGUGACGGUACCUGGAUAAGAAGCACCGGCUAACUACGUGCCAGCAGCCGCGGUAAUACGUAGGGUGCGAGCGUUGUCCGGAAUUACUGGGCGUAAAGAGCUCGUAGGUGGUUUGUCGCGUCGUCUGUGAAAAAGCGGGGCUUAACUCCGUUCGUGCAGGCGAUACGGGCAUAACUGGAGUGCUGUAGGGGAGACUGGAAUUCCUGGUGUAGCGGUGAAAUGCGCAGAUAUCAGGAGGAACACCGAUGGCGAAGGCAGGUCUCUGGGCAGUUACUGACGCUGAGGAGCGAAAGCAUGGGUAGCGAACAGGAUUAGAUACCCUGGUAGUCCAUGCCGUAAACGGUGGGCGCUAGGUGUAGGGAUCUUCCACGAUUUCUGUGCCGUAGCUAACGCAUUAAGCGCCCCGCCUGGGGAGUACGGCCGCAAGGCUAAAAUCAAAGGAAUUGACGGGGGCCCGCACAAGCGGCGGAGCAUGUGGAUUAAUUCGAUGCAACGCGAAGAACCUUACCUGGGCUUG